UAUUUGUCAGUGUUUGAUGAA
RNAcentral lists this microRNA (21 nucleotides) under Medicago truncatula (barrel medic). RNAcentral describes it as "mtr-miR2611". The record is from miRBase by way of RNAcentral. Lineage: Eukaryota; Viridiplantae; Streptophyta; Magnoliopsida; Fabales; Fabaceae.